This 335-nucleotide ribosomal RNA is filed under the name uncultured Planctomycetales bacterium. Its description in RNAcentral is "bacterial SSU rRNA". It matches the Rfam family "Bacterial small subunit ribosomal RNA", at positions 473 to 806 of the family's 1533-position model. The record is from RNAcentral. Lineage: Bacteria; Pseudomonadati; Planctomycetota; Planctomycetia; Planctomycetales.
CAAAGGCCCCAAGGGGAGCCACGGCUAACUCUGUGCCAGCAGCCGCGGUAAUACAGAGGUGGCAAGCGUUGUUCGGUAUUAUUGGGCGUAAAGAGCACGUAGGUGGCUCUGUAAGUCAGAUGUGAAAGCCUUCUGUUCAAAGGAAGAACGGCAUCUGAAACUACAGAUCUUGAGUGUAGGAGGGGAGAGUGGAACUUCUGGUGGAGCGGUGAAAUGCGUAGAUAUCAGAAGGAACGUCGGCGGCGAAAGCGACUCUCUGGCCUAUUACUGACACUGAGUGUGCGAAAGUUAGGGGAGCAAACGGGAUUAGAUACCCCGGUAGUCCUAACUGUAAA